This is a non-coding RNA of Pelodiscus sinensis (Chinese soft-shelled turtle), 347 nucleotides long. The record is from RefSeq and is a predicted model, not a curated record. NCBI's taxonomy places the organism in Eukaryota, Metazoa, Chordata, Testudines, Trionychidae.
GUACAGUACAUGAUAGGAAAGUUCAAGGUGUAUUGGCAACAAGAAUUUCCUUUGCUCCACCCUUUCCCCGAACACUUGAAUUUUAUCAAGGACUUGCAAAAUCACCCCUGGAGCUGCCCAGAACGGCAUAUUGAUCAGCACAGUUGCUUGGACAGGUUCUACAAUUCCAGCAUGAAGCACUUUCCCAUCGUGCCCUGUGUUACCAUCACUAUCGUCUUCUUCUGUCUUCGGAGUUCUUUCUUAGCAGAAGCUGCAAGCAGCUCCGGUGGCAUGACAAGAGCAACGCUCAAUGAGACCCAAUGGCCAUGCCCUGAUGUGCAAUUCUGCACAGAAGUGGCUGAGUGCUG